GACGAACGCUGGCGGCAUGCCUAAUACAUGCAAGUCGAGCGAACAGAUGAAGUGCUUGCACUUCUGACGUUAGCGGCGAACGGGUGAGUAACACGUAAGGAAUCUACCUAUAAGAGGGGGAUAACAUUCGGAAACGGGUGCUCAUACCGCAUAAUAUCUUCUUCCGCAUGGAAGCAGAUUGAAAGACGGCUCUUCUGUCACUUAUAGAUGACCUUGCGGUGCAUUAGUUAGUUGGUGGGGUAACGGCCUACAAUGACGAUGAUGCAUAGCCGACCUGAGAGGGUGAUCGGCCACAUUGGGGCUAAGACACAGCCCAAACUCCUACGGGAGGCAGCAGUAGGGAAUCUUCCGCAAUGGGCGAAAGCCUGACGGAGCAAUGCCGCGUGAGUGAAGAAGGCCUUCGGGUCGUAAAACUCUGUUAUAAGAGAAGAACAAAUUGUAGAGUAACUGCUACAGUCUUGACGGUAUCUUAUCAGAAAGCCACGGCUAACUACGUGCCAGCCGCCGCUGUAA
This 513-nucleotide ribosomal RNA is filed under the name uncultured bacterium. RNAcentral's name for it is "partial 16S ribosomal RNA". It matches the Rfam family "Bacterial small subunit ribosomal RNA", at positions 28 to 523 of the family's 1533-position model. The record is from RNAcentral.